UGGGGGAUAUUGCACAAUGGGCGAAAGCCUGAUGCAGCGACGCCGCGUGGGGGAUGAAGGCUUUCGGGUUGUAAACCUCUUUCGCUAUCGAACAAGGCCCGCUUAGGGUGGGUUGAGGGUAGGUGGAGAAGAAGCGCCGGCUAACUACGUGCCAGCAGCCGCGGUAAUACGUAGGGCGCGAGCGUUGUCCGGAAUUAUUGGGCGUAAAGGGCUUGUAGGCGGCUUGUUGCGCCUGCUGUGAAAACGCGGGGCUUAACUUCGCGCGUGCAGUGGGUACGGGCAGGCUUGAGUGUGGUAGAGGUGACUGGAAUUCCAGGUGUAGCGGUGGAAUGCGCAGAUAUCUGGAGGAACACCGCUGGCGAAGGCAGGUCACUGGGCCAUUACUGACGCUGAGGAGCGAAAGCAUGGGUAGCGAACAGG
This 420-nucleotide ribosomal RNA is filed under the name bacterium. RNAcentral describes it as "partial 16S ribosomal RNA". It matches the Rfam family "Bacterial small subunit ribosomal RNA", at positions 355 to 776 of the family's 1533-position model. The record is from RNAcentral.